CCUACGGGAGGCUGCAGUGAGGAAUAUUGGUCAAUGGACGCAAGUCUGAACCAGCCACGCCGCGUGCAGGAAGACGGCUCUCGGAGUUGUAAACUGCUUUUGUACGGAGGUAAACGCAGAUACGCGUAUCUGUCUGAAAGUAUCGUACGAAUACGGAUCGGCUAACUCCGUGCCAGCAGCCGCGGUAAUACGGAGGAUUCAAGCGUUAUCCGGAUUUAUUGGGUUUAAAGGGUGCGUAGGCGGUCGGAUAAGUUAGAGGUGAAAGCCCGGGGCUCAACUUCGGAAUUGCCUCUGAUACUGUUCGGCUAGAGAGUAGUUGCGGUAGGCGGAAUGUGUGGUGUAGCGGUGAAAUGCUUAGAGAUCAUGCAGAACACCGAUUGCGAAGGCAGCUUACCAAGCUACUACUGACGUUGAGGCACGAAAGCGUGGGGAGCAAACAGGAUUAGAUACCCUGGUAGUC
This 460-nucleotide ribosomal RNA is filed under the name uncultured bacterium. RNAcentral describes it as "partial 16S ribosomal RNA". It matches the Rfam family "Bacterial small subunit ribosomal RNA", at positions 338 to 795 of the family's 1533-position model. The record is from RNAcentral.